This 239-nucleotide ribosomal RNA is filed under the name uncultured bacterium. RNAcentral's name for it is "partial 16S ribosomal RNA". It matches the Rfam family "Bacterial small subunit ribosomal RNA", at positions 1263 to 1500 of the family's 1533-position model. The record is from RNAcentral.
UGGAGCAAAUACUCGAAAAAACAAUCUCAGUUCAGAUUGCAGGCUGCAACUCGCCUGCAUGAAGUCGGAAUUGCUAGUAAUCGUAGGUCAGCAUACUACGGUGAAUACGUUCCCGGGCCUUGUACACACCGCCCGUCAAAUCAUGAGAGUUGGCAACACCCGAAGUCGGUAGUCUAACCGCAAGGAGGACGCCGCCGAAGGUGGGGUUGAUGAUUAGGGUUAAGUCGUAACAAGGUACC